This 827-nucleotide ribosomal RNA is filed under the name uncultured Bradyrhizobium sp. RNAcentral's name for it is "bacterial SSU rRNA". It matches the Rfam family "Bacterial small subunit ribosomal RNA", at positions 58 to 929 of the family's 1533-position model. Lineage: Bacteria; Pseudomonadati; Pseudomonadota; Alphaproteobacteria; Hyphomicrobiales; Nitrobacteraceae. The record is from RNAcentral.
CAAGUCGAGCGGGCGUAGCAAUACGUCAGCGGCAGACGGGUGAGUAACGCGUGGGAACGUACCUUUUGGUUCGGAACAACACAGGGAAACUUGUGCUAAUACCGGAUAAGCCCUUACGGGGAAAGAUUUAUCGCCAAAAGAUCGGCCCGCGUCUGAUUAGCUAGUUGGUGAGGUAACGGCUCACCAAGGCGACGAUCAGUAGCUGGUCUGAGAGGAUGAUCAGCCACAUUGGGACUGAGACACGGCCCAAACUCCUACGGGAGGCAGCAGUGGGGAAUAUUGGACAAUGGGCGCAAGCCUGAUCCAGCCAUGCCGCGUGAGUGAUGAAGGCCCUAGGGUUGUAAAGCUCUUUUGUGCGGGAAGAUAAUGACGGUACCGCAAGAAUAAGCCCCGGCUAACUUCGUGCCAGCAGCCGCGGUAAUACGAAGGGGGCUAGCGUUGCUCGGAAUCACUGGGCGUAAAGGGUGCGUAGGCGGGUCUUUAAGUCAGGGGUGAAAUCCUGGAGCUCAACUCCAGAACUGCCUUUGAUACUGAGGAUCUUGAGUCCGGGAGAGGUGAGUGGAACUGCGAGUGUAGAGGUGAAAUUCGUAGAUAUUCGCAAGAACACCAGUGGCGAAGGCGGCUCACUGGCCCGGUACUGACGCUGAGGCACGAAAGCGUGGGGAGCAAACAGGAUUAGAUACCCUGGUAGUCCACGCCGUAAACGAUGAAUGCCAGCCGUUAGUGGGUUUACUCACUAGUGGCGCAGCUAACGCUUUAAGCAUUCCGCCUGGGGAGUACGGUCGCAAGAUUAAAACUCAAAGGAAUUGACGGGGGGCCCGCACAAG